Molecule: long non-coding RNA, 728 nt
Filed under: Equus caballus (horse)
Lineage: Eukaryota; Metazoa; Chordata; Mammalia; Perissodactyla; Equidae
Description: lncRNA (ENSECAG00000050127.1)
Source: RNAcentral
AGUUUCUCCUGAGGGCAGGCCUUGUUAAGAAGAGCAGAGUGCUCUAUAGCAUUUCGAAAUGUUUCCUUUUCCCUUCCGCCUGCCAGUGGCAGGAGUGGAUUUUUCUCUGACAUCAGAUAAGGUGAGAACCUGGCUGAUGUUUUGAAGUUGUCCUCACUGAGCCUCCAACAAUUCAUCAAUGCGCUUUGGGUUUUCCUACCCCACACUGACUCCUGCAAGGUGUCCACUCAUGUCUCUGCUCAGACUCUGUGAUUGCCUCAAGAAACUAGAAAACCCAAGGAAAUCAAGAGACGAAUACUAUAAUUAUUAAGAGUAACAGAAGAGUUACACCAAUUAAUGGCCUUCAUAUACUGGGAACAAGCAUUGAUUUCUAUUUUCCACAAUGGAAUGGGUUCAUAGAUUGUCUUCACUUCAUAUAAAGAAUAAUGUAUUUCUAUGAUGAAAUAAACAAAACAUUGAAGUUUGAAAGAAAAUGCUAACAUAUUUCAGCACAUUUGUGACAUACCUGCAAUGUACCUGGAAGCAUAUGGAAGCAUGUGAAAGAUCUAGCACAAGUCUUGAGCCUGCUGACUUUCACACUGGAACUUAUGUCACCAGCUCUUCUGGUUCUCAGACCUCCAGACUCAGACUGGAACUACACAUUAAUUUUCUUCAAUCUCCAGCUUAUCAACUGCAGAUCUUGGAACUUCUCAGCCUCCAUAUUGCAUGAGCCAAUUCCUUUUAAUAAA